This 793-nucleotide ribosomal RNA is filed under the name uncultured bacterium. RNAcentral describes it as "bacterial SSU rRNA". It matches the Rfam family "Bacterial small subunit ribosomal RNA", at positions 8 to 796 of the family's 1533-position model. The record is from RNAcentral.
AGAGUUUGAUCCUGGCUCAGAUUGAACGCUGGCGGAAUGCUUUACACAUGCAAGUCGAGCGGCAGCGCGGGGGCAACCCUGGCGGCGAGCGGCGAACGGGUGAGUAAUGUAUCGGAACGUACCCAGUCGUGGGGGAUAACUAUCCGAAAGGAUAGCUAAUACCGCAUACGUCCUGAGGGAGAAAGCGGGGGACCGUAAGGCCUCGCGCGAUUGGAGCGGCCGAUAUCGGAUUAGCUAGUUGGUGAGGUAAAGGCUCACCAAGGCGACGAUCCGUAGCUGGUCUGAGAGGACGACCAGCCACACUGGAACUGAGACACGGUCCAGACUCCUACGGGAGGCAGCAGUGGGGAAUUUUGGACAAUGGGGGCAACCCUGAUCCAGCCAUUCCGCGUGAGUGAAGAAGGCCUUCGGGUUGUAAAGCUCUUUCAGCAGGAACGAAACGGUGGUCCCUAAUACGGGCUACUAAUGACGGUACCUGAAGAAGAAGCACCGGCUAACUACGUGCCAGCAGCCGCGGUAAUACGUAGGGUGCGAGCGUUAAUCGGAAUUACUGGGCGUAAAGCGUGCGCAGGCGGUUAUAUAAGACAGAUGUGAAAUCCCCGGGCUUAACCUGGGAACUGCGUUUGUGACUGUAUAACUMGAGUGUGGCAGAGGGGGGUGGAAUUCCACGUGUAGCAGUGAAAUGCGUAGAUAUGUGGAGGAACACCGAUGGCGAAGGCAGCCCCCUGGRCCAAUACUGACGCUCAUGCACGAAAGCGUGGGGAGCAAACAGGAUUAGAUACCCUGGUAGUCC